RNAcentral lists this ribosomal RNA (482 nucleotides) under uncultured bacterium. RNAcentral describes it as "partial 16S ribosomal RNA". It matches the Rfam family "Bacterial small subunit ribosomal RNA", at positions 30 to 507 of the family's 1533-position model. The record is from RNAcentral.
AUUGAACGCUGGCGGCAUGCUUUACACAUGCAAGUCGAACGGCAGCGCGGGGCAACCUGGCGGCGAGUGGCGAACGGGUGAGUAAUAUAUCGGAACGUACCCAGAAGUGGGGGAUAACGUAGCGAAAGUUACGCUAAUACCGCAUAUGAUCUACGGAUGAAAGUAGGGGACCGCAAGGCCUUAUGCUUUUGGAGCGGCCGAUAUCUGAUUAGCUAGUUGGUGAGGUAAAGGCUCACCAAGGCGACGAUCAGUAGCUGGUCUGAGAGGACGACCAGCCACACUGGAACUGAGACACGGUCCAGACUCCUACGGGAGGCAGCAGUGGGGAAUUUUGGACAAUGGGCGCAAGCCUGAUCCAGCAAUGCCGCGUGAGUGAAGAAGGCCUUCGGGUUGUAAAGCUCUUUUGUCAGGGAAGAAACGGUAGAGGCUAAUAUCCUUUGCUAAUGACGGUACCUGAAGAAUAAGCACCGGCUAACUACGUG